CCCUUAGAUGUUCUGGGCCGCACGCGUGCUACACUGAGUGGAUCAGCGGGUCAGGUUGCGCGAAAGCGUUUCCUAAUCUUUAAAUCCGCUCGUGAUGGGGAUUGACGGUUGCAAUUUUCUGUCAUGAACGAGGAAUACCUUGUAAGCGCGGGUCAUCAUCCCGCGCUGAAUACGUCCCUGCCCUUUGUACACACCGCCCGUCGCUCCUACCGAUUGAGUGGUCCGGUGAGGCUUUGGGAUCUGAGCGGAAAGAGCGUUUCGCUGUUUCUGCUCGGAAAACUCAGUCGAACCUUAUCAUUUAGAGGAAGGAGAAGUCAUAACA
Molecule: ribosomal RNA, 322 nt
Filed under: uncultured eukaryote
Lineage: Eukaryota
Description: partial 18S ribosomal RNA
Rfam family: Eukaryotic small subunit ribosomal RNA
Source: RNAcentral